This 81-nucleotide transfer RNA is filed under the name Palpitomonas bilix. It matches the Rfam family "tRNA". From Rfam's summary of the family: Transfer RNA (tRNA) molecules are approximately 80 nucleotides in length. Their secondary structure includes four short double-helical elements and three loops (D, anti-codon, and T loops). The record is from RNAcentral.
AUGAAUGGCCGAGCGGUUUAAGGUGCCAAUCUUGAAAAUUGGUGUAUCAAUUAGAUACCGGGGGUUCGAAUCCCUCUUCAU